This is a long non-coding RNA of Rhipicephalus microplus (southern cattle tick), 185 nucleotides long. Lineage: Eukaryota; Metazoa; Arthropoda; Arachnida; Ixodida; Ixodidae. The record is from RefSeq and is a predicted model, not a curated record.
GAGAUUUCACGUUUGAUUACUCGACGAGGCAUAGUCGUUACAUGGUGAAUUACAACACUUUGGUGAUCCAGGCGGGCUUCCUUCAGGACUUUAUGUUCAACGAAAAUAUGCCUUUGGUUUUAAACCUAGCGACAGCAGGACGGUCUAUGGCCCACGAGAUUACCCACGGCUUUGGCGAUAAAGGU